UGCACGCCUUUCUCUUUCAUCCAUACACACCUGUGCACCUGUGAGACAGAUUUAGGGGAACUUUCAUUUUUUUUGAGGGGGACCCUGCUGUCUAUUUAAUUUAUAUAAACUCAAUUUAUUUUAAAAUGAAUGUAAUGGAUGUAACACAUCUAAUACUAAGUUUCAACAACGGAUCUCUUGGCUCUCGCAUCGAUGAAGAACGCAGCGAAAUGCGAUAAGUAAUGUGAAUUGCAGAAUUCAGUGAAUCAUCGAAUCUUUGAACGCACCUUGCGCUCCUCGGUAUUCCUUGGAGCAUGCCUGUUUGAGUAUCGUGAAAUCUUCAAAGUAAAUCUUUUGUUCACUCAAUUGGUUCUACUUUGGUAUUGGAGGUUUAUUGCAGCUUCACACCUGCUCCUCUUUGUGCAUUAGCUGGAUUCUCAGUGUUAUGCUUGGUUCCACUCGGCGUGAUAAGUUAAAUUUAAUCGCUGAGGACACACUCUCUAUAACCAAAAAAAGGGGGGGUGGCCAUGGUAAAUACAGAUGAACCCGCUUCUAAUAGUCCAUUGGCUUGGACAAAAAUUAUUUAUUACGAUCUGAUCUCAAAUCAGGUAGGACUACCCG
RNAcentral lists this ribosomal RNA (600 nucleotides) under uncultured Ceratobasidiaceae. RNAcentral describes it as "eukaryotic LSU rRNA". The stretch from base 158 to 311 matches the Rfam family "5.8S ribosomal RNA". The record is from RNAcentral. Lineage: Eukaryota; Fungi; Basidiomycota; Agaricomycetes; Cantharellales; Ceratobasidiaceae.